AACCUAGCACACCUGCGGUGUGUACCUGCGGAGGGAUCAUUAAUAAAUGUUACUUCGGUAACUUAGUUAAUCCCUAACACCUGUGCAUCUUGUCGCUUCGGCGUCAUUUUAUAAACAACAGUGUAAUGAAUGUAACGUAUUAUAACAAAUACAACUUUUAACAAUGGAUCU
This 171-nucleotide unclassified non-coding RNA is filed under the name soil metagenome. RNAcentral's name for it is "partial contains 5.8S ribosomal RNA, internal transcribed spacer 2, and large subunit ribosomal RNA". The record is from RNAcentral.